CACGAUCUACCGCGGAGCCACAAGGACAGGAGCGGGGGAACCAACAUCCGGACGUCCGCACACGGAGUCCUUGGGGUAAAGCCGGCAGCGCCCAUCAGCGCUACCGGCCGGGCUUGUUCCCGCCCGCACCCGACAGCUCACCUCGUAGGCGACGGGAAGGACCGA
Frankia sp. is the source of this 165-nucleotide non-coding RNA. Lineage: Bacteria; Bacillati; Actinomycetota; Actinomycetes; Frankiales; Frankiaceae. The record is from Rfam.